This 466-nucleotide ribosomal RNA is filed under the name uncultured bacterium. Its description in RNAcentral is "partial 16S ribosomal RNA". It matches the Rfam family "Bacterial small subunit ribosomal RNA", at positions 28 to 507 of the family's 1533-position model. The record is from RNAcentral.
GAUGAACGCUGGCGGCGUGCUUAACACAUGCAAGUCGAACGGAAAGGCCACAGCUUGCUGUGGUGCUCGAGUGGCGAACGGGUGAGUAACACGUGGGUGAUCUGCCCUGUACUUCGGGAUAAGCUUGGGAAACUGGGUCUAAUACCGGAUAGGAAUCACAUGUGGGUGUGUGGUUGGAAAGCUUUUGCGGUAUGGGAUGAGCUCGCGGCCUAUCAGCUUGUUGGUGGGGUAAUGGCCUACCAAGGCGUCGACGGGUAGCCGGCCUGGGAGGGUGUACGGCCACAUUGGGACUGAGAUACGGCCCAGACUCCUACGGGAGGCAGCAGUGGGGAAUAUUGCACAAUGGGCGCAAGCGUGAUGCAGCGACGCCGCGUGGGGGAUGACGGCCUUCGGGUUGUAAACUCCUUUCGUCAGGGACGAAGCGAAAGUGACGGUACCUGGAGAAGAAGCACCGGCUAACUACGUG